UACGUAGGGUGCGAGCGUUGUCCGGAAUUAUUGGGCGUAAAGAGCUCGUAGGCGGUCCGUCGCGUCGAAUGUGAAAACCCGGGGCUCAACUCCGGGCUUGCAUUCGAUACGGGCGGACUAGAGUUCGGUAGGGGAGACUGGAAUUCCUGGUGUAGCGGUGAAAUGCGCAGAUAUCAGGAGGAACACCGGUGGCGAAGGCGGGUCUCUGGGCCGAUACUGACGCUGAGGAGCGAAAGCGUGGGGAGCAAACGGG
Molecule: ribosomal RNA, 253 nt
Filed under: uncultured bacterium
Lineage: Bacteria
Description: partial 16S ribosomal RNA
Rfam family: Bacterial small subunit ribosomal RNA
Source: RNAcentral